CUAAGAUUAGGGCUAGGGCUAAUGUCAGGUCUAGGUUCAAAGUAAGUGGUAAUUUUAUGGUUAGGUUAUGGCUAGGUCUAGUGUAAGGGUUAGGUUUUGUGAAAGGGUCAAGUUAAAGCAAGGUGUUUUAUUAGGGUAAGUGUCUGUGUAUGGUUUGCUUUAGGUUAAGGUUUAGGGUUAAGGCUUGUGUUAGCAUUAGGGUUCGGUUUAGGAUUCAGGUAAUGGAUAGGGUUAGGUUUAGGAUUCAGGUUAGGUUUAGAGUAAUCUACACGUUUAUUAUUAGUGAUAGGGUUAGCGUUAGGCCUAGGGUUAGCAUUUGGUUUAGGCUUAUCUUUAGGGUAAUGGAUAGGGUUAGAGCUAAGGUUAGGGCUAAAGUUAAGGUUAAGAUUAUGGCUAGGGUUAGGGUUCGGCCUAGGGUUAGUGUCAGGGUUAGACUUAGGGUAAGUAUUAGGGUUUGAGCUGGGUUAGGUCUAGGGCAAAGGUUAGGGUUAGAGUCAGGGCUAGGGUUAGGGUUAGUGUUAUGAUUAGGGAAAGGGUUAGAGUUUGAGCUAGGUUUAGGACUAGGUCGAGGGUUAGGGUUAGGGUUAGGUCUAGGGUUACGGUUGGGGUUACAAUUAGGGCUAGGUUUAGGAAUAGGAUAAGGGCUAGGUUUGUUGAUGUUUAUGGCUAGUGUUAGGGCUAUGGGUAAUGUAAGAGCUCAGUUAUGGUUAUGGCUAGUUUUAGGGUUAGGGUUAUGGAUAUGUCUAGUGUUAGGGUUAGGUUUUGAGUUAGGAUAAGUUUUAGAGCUAGGGUGUGUUACGAUAAGCAUCAGUGUUUGGUUUAGUGUUAGGCCAGAGUUAGGAAUAGUGUUGGGACUAGGGAUAGGGUUAGUCUUUGUGUUAGGUUAAGGGUUAUUGUUAGGGCCAGAUUAAGGUUUUUGUUUAGGGCUAGGGCUACAUUUAUGACUCUAUAUAGGAUUAAGUUUGGUCUAGUGCUAGUGUUACUGUUAGGUUUAGGUAUAGGUUUACUGGUAGGGGAAGAAUUAGGGUCCGGUUUAAGGUUAGUGACAGGUUUAGAUCUAGGGUUAAUGUUAGGGUCAGAAUAAGGGUCAGUUUUGGGUGCAAGCUAAAGCUAGAAUGAGGCUGAGGGUUAGAACUAGUAAAAGAGUUAGGGUUUGGGAUAGGCUAAGGAUUAAUGUUAGUACUAGGGUAGCAUUACGGGGAGGGAUUGGCUUAGGGUAAUGGAUAGGAAUAGAGGCAGGGUUAGGAUUAGGGAUAGGGUUAGGGUUAAAGUUAGGGUUACUGUUAGGAUUUGGUUUAGGUUUAGGCUUGCAGUUUGAGUUAGUGAUAAGGUUAGAGUUACGAUUAGGGAUAGCGUUAGUGUUUGGGUUAGGGUUAUAGUUAGGUUUAGGAUUAGUGUUAGGAUUAGGGUUAUGGUUAGUGUUAGGUUUAUGGUUAGAAUAAGAUGAGUGGAAUGUAGGCUGGAAGAUGGCGGCGAGGGGAGUGCAUUGCCCCCAUGUGCCGCGUCACUGUGUG
This 1514-nucleotide long non-coding RNA is filed under the name Marmota monax (woodchuck). Lineage: Eukaryota; Metazoa; Chordata; Mammalia; Rodentia; Sciuridae. The record is from RNAcentral.